CAUGAAAUAGUUUAUAAAAAUACCGGUUUUGGGGACCGGUGAUGUGGCAUCCCCACUUUCGUGA
RNAcentral lists this transfer RNA (64 nucleotides) under Loxopholis percarinatum. RNAcentral describes it as "tRNA-Pro". The record is from RNAcentral. Lineage: Eukaryota; Metazoa; Chordata; Lepidosauria; Squamata; Gymnophthalmidae.